UGUUCCAAUACCUCAGGGGCUGCCACAAAGAAGAGGGAGUCAAGCUAUUCUCCAAAGCACCUGAAGUUAGAGCCUUCUGAAGAACAACCAGAUACUGUAUAUCUAUGUUGAACUACACUCCAGGAACCAAAGUUUAGCCAGAAAAUACAAAGAAGCACAGAACGAUUUCUUCGCAUCUGCAGAAUUCCUUGGCCUAGAAAAAACAAGAAGUUGAGGUGAUUUUGAAACUAUUAUCAUAAAUUAACUUUAGACUGCUUUUUGAAGACAGUGAAACUGAAUCAUAUUUGCCACCAUUUCCUUAACUUUUUAAACCUGGUAUCUUAUUAUUGUAGGCUGCCAGUUCAAAAUACUUGCAGAACAAAAAUAACGCUUUUUGCUAACUUUAUUUAAUGAUGACAGUAAAUUCUAUAUUGAAAGAUAAUAAAGGGAUUCAGCCACC
Long non-coding RNA from Pantherophis guttatus, 439 nucleotides. RefSeq lists it as uncharacterized. The record is from RefSeq and is a predicted model, not a curated record. Lineage: Eukaryota; Metazoa; Chordata; Lepidosauria; Squamata; Colubridae.